RNAcentral lists this transfer RNA (77 nucleotides) under Nitrospira sp. RNAcentral's name for it is "tRNA-Arg". It matches the Rfam family "tRNA". Rfam says of the family: Transfer RNA (tRNA) molecules are approximately 80 nucleotides in length. Lineage: Bacteria; Pseudomonadati; Nitrospirota; Nitrospiria; Nitrospirales; Nitrospiraceae. RNAcentral also lists the same sequence under 1 other name. The record is from RNAcentral.
GCGCCCAUAGCUCAGCUGGAUAGAGCACUUGGCUUCGAACCAAGGGGUCGGGGGUUCGAGUCCCUCUGGGCGCACCA